Molecule: ribosomal RNA, 1872 nt
Filed under: Myxidium shedkoae
Lineage: Eukaryota; Metazoa; Cnidaria; Myxozoa; Bivalvulida; Myxidiidae
Description: SSU rRNA
Rfam family: Eukaryotic small subunit ribosomal RNA
Source: RNAcentral
UUAGCCAUGCAUGUCUGAGUUCAUACCUAGUUAACGUGAGACUGCGAAAGGCUCAGUACAUCAGUUAUAGUUUAUUCGAUUAUGAAUCCACAUGGAUAACCGUGGAAAAUCUAGAGCUAAUACAUGCGAAAAAGGCAUUGGACCAGAACUUCUCUCAGUUUGAUCGAUUAAUUAGAAAAAGCCAGUCGAUGGUGCGAUGGUAACUGUUGCAUCAUUGUUGUGGUGAGUCUGGAUAACUGUGCCGAUCGUAUGGCCUUGAGCCGGCGACAUUUCGAUUAAAUUUCUGCCCUAUCAACUUGUUGGUAAGGUAGUGGCUUACCAAGGUGAUAACGGGUAACGGGGAAUCAGGGUUCGAUUCCGGAGAGGGAGCCUGAGAAACGGCUACCACAUCCAAGGAGGGCAGCAGGCGCGCAAAUUACCCAGUCCAGACACUGGGAGGUGGUGACGAGUAAUACCAGGUCGUUCCCAAAAGGAUUCGACACUGGAAUGAGUGCAAUUUAAGAAUGUCAACGAGUAACAACUGGAGGGCAAGUCUGGUGUUAGAAGCCGCGGUAAUUCCAGCUCCAGUAGUGUAUCCAUACGUAGCUGCGGUUAAAACGCUCGUAGUUGGACAAGAGAGCAACUUGGUGCAGGCGGGAUUUGAUUUCCACUCUGCACAUACCCUUGCGGAGGCUUGACUGAAAAGUAUCUGGGCACAUUCUUGUCAAUCUAUGCGUGAUGGGAAUUGACAUUGCAAUUAUUGUCAACCACACAGCCAAGCUACUUGUAUUGUUCUCUGAGAAUAACGUAUGGCCUUCACUGUAUAGUACUACAUAUCUCACGUAGUGUGCCUUGAAUAAAUCAGAGUGCUCAAAGCAAGCUAUUCGCUUGAAAGUUAAUAGCAUGGAACGAAUGUUUAGUCGCAAUGUCAGGAAGUAGCGUGAGGUUUUCCGUGUGAACCAAAUUACACAGCACCAACCCUGGAGCGGAGCAUUGGCUGCCAACUUCCGGGUGAGGAUUAAGAGGGGCAUUUGGGGGCAUUAGUAUUUGGCCGCGAGAGGUGAAAUUCUUAGACCGGCCAAGGACUAACAAGUGCGAAAGAAUUAGCCAAGUAUGUUCCCUUUAAUCAAGAACGAAAGUGAGAGGAUCGAAGACGAUCAGAUACCGUCUUAGUUCUCACCGUAAACGAUGCCAACCCGGGAUCAGUUCGGAUGAAUAUUUGCUGGAUCCAGGUUGGUCCCCCUGGGAAACCUUGAGUCUUUAGGUUCCGGGGGGAGUAUGGUUGCAAGGCUGAAACUUAAAGGAAUUGACGGAAGGGCACCACCAGGGGUGGAGCCUGCGGCUUAAUUUGACUCAACACGGGAAAACUCACCUGGUCCGGACAUCGAUAGGAUUGACAGACUAAUAGAUCUUUCAUGAUACGGUGGGUGGUGGUGCAUGGCCGUUCUUAGUUCGUGGAGCGAUCUGUCAGGUUUAUUCCGGUAACGAACGAGACCACGUUCUUCAUUUGGGGAGCUAGAGGACAGGUAUUGGUUGUUGUGGGUUGUAGUGUUUUGAAUAAAUGGUGAGCAAUUAUUGCUUGUUUGACUACGGUACUUGCGGUAGUUGCACCUAGUGCUCGCGCACAGCAAUGUGCGUCCCCUUUGGAGAGACAGCCGGAUUUUAAGCCGGAGGAAGCGUGGCAAUAACAGGUCUGUGAUGCCCUUCGAUGUUCAGGGCCGCACGCGCGCUACAAUGAUAACGACAGCGAGAGUCUGGACUGAAAAGUUCUGGGUAAUCUUGUGAAUCGUUAUCGUGAUGGGGAUUGAGCAUUGUAAUUGUUGCUCAUGAAAUAGGAAUCCCUUGUAUACGUGUCUCACUUAAGACACGUAGAAUGCGUCUCUGCCCUUUGUA